GCACAUAUGUAAUUCUUUUUGAAUAGUGUAUUUCUUUGUUUGCUUCUGAGGGCUGGGCAUGGUGGGUUUGAUCUUCUUUUUAAAUGCAAAACGGUUAUUAUGUUUUGCCUGAAAGAAGUUAGGCAGAGGUAAAUAAUGCAGCUCAGCUUACAUUCUAGAUUCUGAGUGGAACAAGAAGUUGAUAUAGCUGGUGUCACAGACAUGACUUUGUCUUUGAAGACUAUUUGUUUCUCUUUGAAGAAUAAAUCCACAAGGAGAGAUGGACCAACCUAAGGGGUCAAAAGCAUCUUUGCCAACACCUGAGACAGGCUUUGAAUUUGCAGAGAAUGGUGACCAGUGCCUGAAGUUUCUAAUUUAUACUUCAGAAGCAAGGCAAUGA
This 379-nucleotide long non-coding RNA is filed under the name Anser brachyrhynchus (Pink-footed goose). Its description in RNAcentral is "lncRNA (ENSABRG00000002334.1)". Lineage: Eukaryota; Metazoa; Chordata; Aves; Anseriformes; Anatidae. The record is from RNAcentral.